CCUACGGGAGGCAGCAGUGAGGAAUCUUGGUCAAUGGACGAGAGUCUGAACCAGCCAAGUAGCGUGAAGGAUGACUGCUCUAUGGGUUGUAAACUCCUUUUAUAAAGGAAUAAAACGAAGCAAGUGUGCCUUUUUGCAUGUACUUUAUGAAUAAGGAUCGGCUAACCCCGUGCCAGCAGACGCGGCAAUACGGAGGAUCCGUGAGUUACCCGGAUUUAUUGGGUUUAAAGUGAGCGUAGCUGGGUUGUUAAGUCAGUUGUGAAAGUUUGCGGCUCAACCGGAAAAUUGCAAUUGAUACUGGCAGUCUUGAGUACAGUUGAGGUAGGCGGAAUUCGUGGUGUAGCGGUGAAAUGCUUAGAUAUCACGAAGAACCCCGAUUGCGAAGGCAGCUUACUAAACUGUGACUGACAUUGAUGCUCGAAAGUGUGGGUAUCAAACAGGAUUAGAUACCCCAGUAGUC
RNAcentral lists this ribosomal RNA (460 nucleotides) under uncultured bacterium. RNAcentral describes it as "partial 16S ribosomal RNA". It matches the Rfam family "Bacterial small subunit ribosomal RNA", at positions 338 to 795 of the family's 1533-position model. The record is from RNAcentral.